AAUUAUAAACUAGCGCCUGAACCAUAAUAAGGUUGACGAGGAGAGUAAUUAUCGAAUAUUCGGCGGAUAUUACUCUGGGUUAUAUACUCAUUAGAUUAUUAUAAAAAACAAAAUCAAUAUUGUAUAACAAAAUAAUAAUCACAUAUAAGA
This is a non-coding RNA of Firmicutes bacterium CAG:321, 150 nucleotides long. NCBI's taxonomy places the organism in Bacteria, Bacillati, Bacillota. The record is from Rfam.